Molecule: ribosomal RNA, 499 nt
Filed under: uncultured bacterium
Lineage: Bacteria
Description: bacterial SSU rRNA
Rfam family: Bacterial small subunit ribosomal RNA
Source: RNAcentral
GACGAACGCUGGCGGCGUGCCUAAUACAUGCAAGUCGAGCGGACCCUUCGGGGUCAGCGGCGGACGGGUGAGUAACACGUGGGCAAUCUGCCCAUCAGACUGGAAUAACGCCUGGAAACGGGUGCUAAUGCCGGAUAGUCAACUAGGGGGCAUCUCCUGGUUGGGAAAGGCGCUACGGCGCUACUGAUGGAGGAGCCCGCGGCGCAUUAGCUAGUUGGUGAGGUAACGGCUCACCAAGGCGACGAUGCGUAGCCGACCUGAGAGGGUGACCGGCCACACUGGGACUGAGACACGGCCCAGACUCCUACGGGAGGCAGCAGUAGGGAAUCUUCGGCAAUGGGCGAAAGCCUGACCGAGCAACGCCGCGUGAGCGAAGAAGGCCUUCGGGUUGUAAAGCUCAGUCACUCGGGAAGAGCGGUAUGGAGAGGGAAUGCUCUGUACGAGACGGUACCGAGAGAGGAAGCCCCGGCUAACUACGUGCCAGCAGCCGCCGUAACAC